CCCUCCCUCUUUCUUUGCACAACCAAAAGUCAUGAAAAAACCAGAAAUAUACCAAUGACAGUCUCAAGCCAGCUCCUUUCUUCACUAGUGGAACAAAUCCCCCUCAAUUCAGCACGUUCUCAAGUUUUAGUUCCAUGUAGAUGAUUCCUAGUAUGUGGAGGUAUUCCAAACCACCAGAACUUCCGCAGCAUAAAACAUGGAAAUAGAGGUCCUAGUUAAAUUUGAUUUGACUUUUUUUUUUAAAAAUAAAAAAUCAAAUAAAAAGAAAAUUAUGCAAUUCAAUAUCUGAGAAAAAUGGAGGAAUAUUCAAAAUUUUCUAUCUUGGCUCCGUGGGCCUUCUGAUUCACGCUAGAGCCUUUCUUGUCUAUGAAUUUCAUGGCCUAAAAGAACAAGGAAGGCGAAGGCUUGCAAUCCUGAUAGGCGGGACUGGAAUCGAUGUGAAAGGGGGUGGUGGUGGGGCCGCUGGUUUGUUGGGUAGGGAAGAGGUUGGGUUUUUUUUAAGGUUUUCCUUGUGAUCCCGAUGGGUAGGACUGGAACCCAUGCCUAUGAAGGUGCAGAGGUAGAUAGUGUCAAUGUCGCCGACGCUGAUGCGGAGGAGGAAAGUGGCUAGGGUUGGAGUGAUAGGGGGUGGGGGUGGUGAAGGCGCUGGGUCAUACCUGACCCACUCUCUAUUUCUCUAUUUCUCUUCCUCCCUCUCCCCCUCUCUUCGUCAUUCCCAUCCUCCUCCCUCUAUUUCUCUCUUUUGUGGCUCAGUUUGAUUGGAUUGGACAAAUUAGGUUUUUUAGGUUCGGGUAAUUAUGGAUUUGGAGCAACAACUUAUAGGGCUAGUGAGUUAUUUGGUUCUGAUUGUGAGGUUGAUCUUGUUUUGGAUGUUUGA
This 877-nucleotide long non-coding RNA is filed under the name Prunus dulcis (almond). RNAcentral's name for it is "sRNA ncRNA". Lineage: Eukaryota; Viridiplantae; Streptophyta; Magnoliopsida; Rosales; Rosaceae. The record is from RNAcentral.